RNAcentral lists this ribosomal RNA (465 nucleotides) under Vreelandella stevensii. RNAcentral's name for it is "partial 16S ribosomal RNA". It matches the Rfam family "Bacterial small subunit ribosomal RNA", at positions 338 to 795 of the family's 1533-position model. The record is from RNAcentral. Lineage: Bacteria; Pseudomonadati; Pseudomonadota; Gammaproteobacteria; Oceanospirillales; Halomonadaceae.
CCUACGGGUGGCAGCAGUGGGGAAUAUUGGACAAUGGGGGCAACCCUGAUCCAGCCAUGCCGCGUGUGUGAAGAAGGCCCUCGGGUUGUAAAGCACUUUCAGUGAGGAAGAACGCCUGGUGGUUAAUACCCAUCAGGAAAGACAUCACUCACAGAAGAAGCACCGGCUAACUCCGUGCCAGCAGCCGCGGUAAUACGGAGGGUGCGAGCGUUAAUCGGAAUUACUGGGCGUAAAGCGCGCGUAGGUGGCUUGAUAAGCCGGUUGUGAAAGCCCCGGGCUCAACCUGGGAACGGCAUCCGGAACUGUCAAGCUAGAGUGCAGGAGAGGAAGGUAGAAUUCCCGGUGUAGCGGUGAAAUGCGUAGAGAUCGGGAGGAAUACCAGUGGCGAAGGCGGCCUUCUGGACUGACACUGACACUGAGGUGCGAAAGCGUGGGUAGCAAACAGGAUUAGAUACCCCAGUAGUA